GCCAGGCGUCGUGACUCACAUCUGUAUUCCCAUCUACUUGGGAGGCUGAGGCAAGAGGAUCCCUUGAGCCCAAUAGUUCUAGGCUACAGCUCUGGGCUAUGCCAAUCAGAUGUCUACACUAAGUUCAGCAUUUAUAUGAUGACGUCCCAGAAGCAGGAGGACUACCAGGUUGCCUAAGGAGGGAUGAACCCACCCAGGUUACAAAAAAAAAACAAAAAAAUGGAGCAGGUCACAACUCCUGUGCUGACCAGUAGUGGGAAUGCACCUAUGAAAACCACUGCACUCCAGCCUAGGCAACAUAGCAAGGCACCAUCUUCGU
RNAcentral lists this signal recognition particle RNA (319 nucleotides) under Pan paniscus (pygmy chimpanzee). RNAcentral describes it as "Metazoan signal recognition particle RNA (ENSPPAG00000013082.1)". It matches the Rfam family "Metazoan signal recognition particle RNA". From Rfam's summary of the family: The signal recognition particle (SRP) is a universally conserved ribonucleoprotein. It is involved in the co-translational targeting of proteins to membranes. Lineage: Eukaryota; Metazoa; Chordata; Mammalia; Primates; Hominidae. The record is from Rfam by way of RNAcentral.